UGCCAGCCGCCGCGGUAAUACGAGUGCCCCAAGCGUUAUCCGGAAUUAUUGGGCGUAAAGGGUCCGUAGGCGGACUUAUUAGUCUUUCGUUAAAGCACCGGGCUUAACCCGGGACCGGCGAGAGAAACGGUAAGUCUAGAGGAUGUGAGAGGUGUGUGGAACUCAUGGUGUAGGGGUGAAAUCCGUUGAUAUCAUGGGGAACACCAAAUGCGAAGGCAGCACACUGGCACAUUCCUGACGCUGAGGGACGAAACCCUGGGUCGCGAAUGGGAUUAGAUA
Molecule: ribosomal RNA, 279 nt
Filed under: uncultured bacterium
Lineage: Bacteria
Description: partial 16S ribosomal RNA
Rfam family: Bacterial small subunit ribosomal RNA
Source: RNAcentral